UGACUUUGGUUCUUUGGUUUCCACGCCUAAUAGUUAGACACUUCUUCUUAUCUUUUUUCUUUUCUUUUAUUUCUUUUUAAUUUGCAAUUCCUUGGGUGCUCUUCACGUGAUUUUGAGCUAGUAGGAAGUAUUUUGCCUCCAUUUCCUAAUCAAAAUAAUGAUAAACAUAUCAAGUACUCUAAUCCCUACCUUAUAAAAAGUAGGAGAUUGUUCUUAUGAACAGUGCACGAACCUUUUUACCCUUAAAAUAUUUAUUUACCUUCUUAUCCCUAUUCAUAAAUGAGUUUUGAGAUUUCUUCCUUUCUCCCUCCUCCUCAUCUUUGUUCACCAUGAGUAGAAGAAACCCCAAAGAGUAGGAGACAAAGAAGAUGAAGAACAACCAAGAGUCUCCAAUCCCCCGCUAGCCGGAAAUGUCGCAAGGCUCACAUCUCGGUGCCAUUGAACGUCCUUCGUUUGAUUUUGAAAACUCCACUCUAUAAAGUAAGCACAACUUCUGAACAAUGCCCAUGUACAAAGACGACCAAGUCUUGGUUGUUCGUGGUACCUCAUGGUCGCUUCUUGGGAGCUCGACAUUCAGGUAAAGGGCAGCCUACCAUGGAAAGGCCUACAAGACUGAGGAUUGCCUUUGGAGCAGCAAAAGGAUAAGCAUAUUUGCAUGAGGAUCUUAAGGGGAUAGCUUACAUGGAUGACAAGUUAGUUGAUUGGGCAUGCAAUUUCUCCAUACAUUGAGCUAUUCAUUGUAUUCCUCUUGUUUUUAACUAAUCAGCCUAACAAUUGAUAAGAUAAAUCAUACGAGUAAUAACCCUCAAAUUCAAACUAAGACGUGGAAAGGGUGAUUGGCUAGAAUUUGAAGCAAUAACUACCGGCUUGGCGACUAAGCCCAUGUACUAUUGUACUUUCUCAAACGUCCCUGAUCAGAAUUUGGGUUCUAAAAUGGCAAAGGAAAGCCAUUUUCUUUGCCUGAACGCAACUAUAGCAGCAACAUGAAGUGGCUUCUUACAAAGAGCACUGGCAUACACAACACCUUUUGGUUAGCUUUUGAUACCAAUGUAAUUUGUAUUAGUAAGAUUAAACUACAUUGAUGGGUCAUUGGUUGUAAUUUUUGCUUUUUAAAAAACACAAAUCAUCUUUGAACUCUUUUCUGGUACUACUUAACCAGCCCAAAUCUUUUUGAUAGAUGCAAUAGUUUCAUGGUUAUGUUCAAAAAUUUCAAACCUAUGAAUAUUAUUGUUUUUGCAUUACACAUAAUAAUUAUGGCCU
Chenopodium quinoa (quinoa) is the source of this 1260-nucleotide long non-coding RNA. RefSeq lists it as uncharacterized. The record is from RefSeq and is a predicted model, not a curated record. The transcript is spliced from 3 exons. NCBI's taxonomy places the organism in Eukaryota, Viridiplantae, Streptophyta, Magnoliopsida, Caryophyllales, Amaranthaceae.